UAUGAUUGGUUCGCUUUAACGCAUGACUUGAGGCCGCUGAAUAUAAAGCAGUUUCUAAUCUGUUCUGUGGUUAAGUUGUGUGUAGAGCAUUCAAGUUGUGUUUUUUAGCCGUAAAUUGGAUUCGCUCACUGUACUAUCAACUUCUAGUCAAGAAGGCCCUUUGCGAUCGCUAUCAACAUGAUUUUGCUGAAGUUCUUUCUUCUGUUUGCUUUUCUCCUGUGUUUGAUGGAACCUUGCCUCGUGGAAGCACAACGGGGUUGCCCACCGUCAUGCGUUUUUCGUGAAGGAUUAGGUCGUGAUAUCAGAUUAAAGGGAGGAGUUGAAGAGAAAGCCGAGCGCCUCAAUACCAGGGAGAGAAGAUCGCAUUUUUUAAUGCUGGAGAAACGUCGACCUUCCAUGGGAUGAAUAGCAGCAAGGGUGGAAAACUACAUCAGGAUUUCGAGAUAUUUUGAUCGGUUAUGCUCCGUUUGUUAACUUGAUGUUAUUUCUUGUAUGUGAAUCAAAGUAAUGGAGGUAUAAUAUUAUGGAAUAAUAUACUGGAUACCAUUUAACGAUCGAGGGUAUUAUAUUUUGAACCAAUCAACCACGGAAUAUAUUAAUAAAUAAAGGUAUAUAGAGGCAAUGAUCACUUACUCUUUGGUUAUAAACCCUAACUUAAAAUAGUAUGAAUACCUUCUCGAACGAUUUAAGGCUACCUGCAGUUACAUAUGUUUACACUUGGACUUCAGUAUCACGGAUAAUAGAAAGUCUUUUUUUUUUAGCCGGAAGCCGUUAACAGUUAGCGGUUAGCGAUAUGCUGCUAACUUGGUGUUCGUGGUUGUAGCGAAGGUCGUUUCUUCCUUUCUCGAAGGUAAAAUAAAGGAUAUUUGUUUACCUAUGAAAUCCUUUUAUGCUCCUUAUUUACCUAGUUAUUAAUAAUGAAUCUGUCCUGGCUUUGGACAGGUGAUCGCGAUUCGACAUCUAUUAGCAGAAAACCGCCUUUCAACCUCAUGCAGAACAGGUUUUUGUCCUCUUUUGCCCGGGACCCUGAUUGGCACCCACCCGAUUGCCCUCUUCUACGAGACUAGUCGCAGAUUUUUGGGUAUCCCCUCACCUUUGCUGGGAGCAGUGUCGUGCAGAUUUUAACACUGUUCGUUUUUUGUUACAUGUGUAACCAACAAUAAACGGCCACCUGUGUGGUCAAAAUAUGCCAGAGUGUGUCACGUCAUUUAGUUUCCCAGCAACCGAAGCUCAAUUGACGCAACGAGUGAGAGUUGUACAUGUCUUGUAAAAGUAAUGAGACAUAAAAUUCAUUUUUUCACUAGGUAUUGUCCGCGUGGUCGCCGUUGUCAUUGCUUAAGCUCUCUAUUUAUAUUCUGCUAACGUGAGCAGCAAGGUCGUACCCCGUCAACCGUGAGCUAUGAAUUGCUUGAUUAUGACUCAGUACUAUGGAAAUGGAAAACAUAUCAAGGUUUCAAAAAACAACAACAAUAACAACAACAAUAAUAAUAAUUUUGCUUUAAUCCCAAACUAGAGGUCUCGACCUUGAAAAUUGAAGGUAAGAUUAGGGUUGCGCGAGUCUUCGACGCUUCAGAGAUAUGCAUUAAGAUGAGUCAUGUGCGCAACGAUCACCUGCUCGAAUUCUAAGAGAUGGACAAUGACUUACGCGAUUCAAAGGAAGAAUCAAACGAUGGUGGAUAUACCAAACGUGUUAUUUCUUGUGUCGCGCUAGGAUAGAUAGGAUAAGUUAAUGACUGUUUUACAUUGGCCAGCAGAUAGAUAUUUGUAACUGCGGCGUCGAGGUCAGAACGCCGAUCACGCAAUUACAUCGGAGGACUCUAAGAUUGGUUCGCUUUAACGGAUGACUUGAGGCCGCUGAAUAUAAAGUAGUUGCUAGUCUGUUCUGUGGUUAAGUUGUGUGUAGAGUAUUGAAGUUGUGUUUUUUAGCCGUAAAUUGGAUUCGCUCACUGUACUGUAAGUAUAAGGAAUUCUGUGCGAUAUUAUAAAUGCUUCGUUCAAGUGAACCUAUAUCGUCUACACCUGCAAUAAACCGUUUCCGCUCGUUAGUAUAACCACAUGUUUACCUAAGCAUAGCUUGCAUGUAAACCUUGCCCGCUUUUCUGUUUAGUCAUAUUUGCCUGAAAAACGUUCGAUUCAAUUUAAGGGAAGCUUACUUCAUAUUCACUAACAUUCCUUUAGUUUUUUGAUUCACGUGAGAACGGACAAGCUUGGUGCGCUCGCUUCGAUGUGCAAUCCACCAAUACUUUUAGGGUGAAUGAAUACAUUAGCCAGUAAUUUGUAAUCAAACUUAGCCAGUACGAAAUAGAAAGGUCAUCUUCUUAAAUCAAAUAGCUGUAUCGGAAAAAAAUUAGAAUAUUCUCUAGCUUCAGUUAAUACCGUUGAGCAUGGCUACAACGAUCUCAUCUUGCUAUUCAUUGUUCAGAUCAACUUGUAGCCAGCAAGGCCCUUUACGAUCGCUAUCAACAUGCAUUUGCUGAAGUUCUUUCUUCUGUUCGCUUUUCUCCUGUGUUUGAUGGAACCUUGCCACGUGGAAGCACAACGUUGCCCACCGUUUUGCAUCUUUGGUGAAGGAUUUCCCGUGGUAUCAGAUUAAAGAGAGGAGUUGAAGAGAAAGCUGAGCGCCCCAAUGCGAGGGAGAAAAGAUCGCAUUUCUCGAUGUUGGAGAAACGUCAUCCUACCAAGGACUAAGGUCCAGCAAAGGACUCAUUGGGUGGAAAACUAAAUCAAGAUUUCAAGACAUUUUGAUCGUUUGUGCUUCAUUUAUCAACUUGAUGUUCUUUUUUUGUAUGCGAUAGGAACUGAAAGCGGCAUAAGAUUAUAUGGAACAAUAGACUAGAUAUCAUAUUUUACUCCAUGUUACUUUAAACCCGUGGACAUUGGGAUUAUUGAAUCAGUCAAGACGUCAAAGCAAUGAUCACGUUCUCUUUGAAUACACCUAACUGAGGAAACGUUGUCAAGAAAAAAUUAUAAACCAUGAACGAUACGACACAGUCGUUUACCUGGGAAACUUGCGAAAUGAUACUAAUUUGCAUCCGCACCGUGUACAUGCUUUAAAGUGGUUUACGGUUUAUUGUUACCUUGUUUAUGAUAUUGAAGAAAUUGCAGAUUGCUCGCAUCUGCAAUUAAUGUAAAUUUCCCUUUGUUUUCUAACUUAGCAACCAUUAGGAACCUUAGGAAGACAUGAACAGUUUCCAUGUUUUUCUAAAGGAUUGUGAUCUGUGACUGUGUCAUUUAAAUGCCACGAGGAAACAAUCUUGAAUAUUCAUGAUUGUGCACACGCUUCUUCAGUCUUCCGAUAAUUCCAUGAAGUCGUAUCGUUUAUGGUUUAUACUUUUCAUCCGACAACGUUCUUCCAAUCAGGUAUAUAUAGUGUAAAUACUCUCUAAAACGAUUUUUGUCUUCCGUAGCAAACAUGUUAAUUUCCGUUGCGGUAGCAUUCAGUAAUAUUCGAAUCAUUUCACGUAUGAAAUUGUAACGGAAAGAGAUAUUUGAAAAUAGUAAAAUUUAUUUUCUUUCUC
This 3518-nucleotide long non-coding RNA is filed under the name Orbicella faveolata. RNAcentral's name for it is "uncharacterized LOC110055380". The record is from RNAcentral. Lineage: Eukaryota; Metazoa; Cnidaria; Anthozoa; Scleractinia; Merulinidae.